UAGGGAAUCUUCGGCAAUGGACGAAAGUCUGACCGAGCAACGCCGCGUGAGUGAAGAAGGUUUUCGGAUCGUAAAACUCUGUUGUUAGAGAAGAACAAGGAUGAGAGUAAAACGUUCAUCCCUUGACGGUAUCUAACCAGAAAGCCACGGCUAACUACGUGCCAGCAGCCGCGGUAAUACGUAGGUGGCAAGCGUUGUCCGGAUUUAUUGGGCGUAAAGCGAGCGGAGGCGGUUUCUUAAGUCUGAUGUGAAAGCCCCCGGCUCAACCGGGGAGGGUCAUUGGAAACUGGGAAACUUGAGUGCAGAAGAGGAGAGUGGAAUUCCAUGUGUAGCGGUGAAAUGCGUAGAUAUAUGGAGGAACACCAGUGGCGAAGGCGGCUCUCUGGUCUGUAACUGACGCUGAGGCUCGAAAGCGUGGGGAGCAAACA
RNAcentral lists this ribosomal RNA (428 nucleotides) under uncultured bacterium. RNAcentral's name for it is "partial 16S ribosomal RNA". It matches the Rfam family "Bacterial small subunit ribosomal RNA", at positions 355 to 774 of the family's 1533-position model. The record is from RNAcentral.